This 773-nucleotide ribosomal RNA is filed under the name uncultured bacterium. Its description in RNAcentral is "bacterial SSU rRNA". It matches the Rfam family "Bacterial small subunit ribosomal RNA", at positions 128 to 916 of the family's 1533-position model. The record is from RNAcentral.
GCCUAUCAGAGGGGAAUAACAGUGAGAAAUCAUUGCUAAUACCGCAUAUACCAUAAAUAUCACAUGAUGAAAGUGGGAAAGGAGUAAUCCGCUGAUAGAUGGGCUCGCGUCUGAUUAGAUAGUUGGUGGGGUAACGGCCUACCAAGUCGACGAUCAGUAGCCGGACUGAGAGGUUGAACGGCCACAUUGGGACUGAGAUACGGCCCAGACUCCUACGGGAGGCAGCAGUCGGGAAUAUUGCGCAAUGGAGGAAACUCUGACGCAGUGACGCCGCGUAUAGGAAGAAGGUUUUCGGAUUGUAAACUAUUGUCGUUAGGGAAGAUACAAGACAGUACCUAAGGAGGAAGCUCCGGCUAACUACGUGCCAGCAGCCGCGGUAAUACGUAGGGAGCAAGCGUUAUCCGGAUUUAUUGGGUGUAAAGGGUGCGUAGACGGGAAAGCAAGUUAGUUGUGAAAUCCCUCGGCUUAACUGAGGGACUGCAACUAAAACUACUUUUCUUGAGUGUUGGAGAGGAAAGUGGAAUUCCUAGUGUAGCGGUGAAAUGCGUAGAUAUUAGGAGGAACACCGGUGGCGAAGGCGACUUUCUGGACAAUAACUGACGUUGAGGCACGAAAGUGUGGGGAGCAAACAGGAUUAGAUACUCUGGUAGUCCACGCCGUAAACGAUGGAUACUAGGUGUAGGGAACAUUAAGUUUUCUGUGCCGUCGCAAACGCAAUAAGUAUCCCACCUGGGGAGUACGGCCGCAAGGUUGCAACUCAAAUGAAUUGACGG